AUGACUGCUUGCAAGCAGACUGCAUCCACGGGCGCCGCCGCCACGGACGAGGCCGACAGCAAGUCGGCAGCGAAGAGCGAUGGAGCGGAGGAGCGGAAGCCCUCGACCAAGUGCAAGAAGGGGAAGAAGGCCAAGGGCAAGUUGGGGGUGAAGAGCGAUGGAGCGGAGAAGCCGAAGACCCAUGACCUUUCCGAUGUUACACUGGGGUUGGCGGUGAUGAGCAUUGCAGAGGAUGAAGCGCUCGCCCUGCGCACCUACCAGAACCAGUUCUGGAUGAGGCACUUCAAAGACGUCUGUGACAGGCCGUCCGUAGGUGCUAUUAGAAAGCAAGCUGCUGAAAACUGGAAAUUCUUUAACGAUUCGGACAAGGCCCCUUAUGUAGCCAGGGCCCGUGAGGUCAAAAUAGGCAUGGCUCGGAUUGCUGAGUUCAAGAAGAAACUGAUGUUGACGGAGGUAAUGACAAACGAGAUGGUGAAUCUGAAAAUGUGA
This 489-nucleotide ribosomal RNA is filed under the name Triticum aestivum (bread wheat). RNAcentral's name for it is "partial small subunit ribosomal RNA". The record is from RNAcentral. Lineage: Eukaryota; Viridiplantae; Streptophyta; Magnoliopsida; Poales; Poaceae.